Molecule: ribosomal RNA, 386 nt
Filed under: uncultured bacterium
Lineage: Bacteria
Description: bacterial SSU rRNA
Rfam family: Bacterial small subunit ribosomal RNA
Source: RNAcentral
GACGAACGCUGGCGGCGUGCUUAACACAUGCAAGUCGAGCGGUAAGGCCCUUUCGGGGGUACACGAGCGGCGAACGGGUGAGUAACACGUGGGUGACCUGCCCUCAGCUCUGGGAUAAGCCUGGGAAACCGGGUCUAAUACUGGAUAUGACUCCAUGACGCAUGUUGUGGGGUGGAAAGCCUUGUGCGGCUGAGGAUGGGCCCGCGGCCUAUCAGCUUGUUGGUGGGGUGAUGGCCUACCAAGGCGACGACGGGUAGCCGGCCUGAGAGGGCGACCGGCCACACUGGGACUGAGACACGGCCCAGACUCCUACGGGAGGGCAGCAGUGGGGAAUCUUGCGCAAUGGGCGAAAGCCUGACGCAGCGACGCCGCGUGAGGGAUGACGG